This 492-nucleotide ribosomal RNA is filed under the name uncultured bacterium. RNAcentral describes it as "partial 16S ribosomal RNA". It matches the Rfam family "Bacterial small subunit ribosomal RNA", at positions 29 to 507 of the family's 1533-position model. The record is from RNAcentral.
AGUGAACGCUGGCGGUAGGCCUAACACAUGCAAGUCGAACGGCAGCACAGUAAGAGCUUGCUCUUACGGGUGGCGAGUGGCGGACGGGUGAGGAAUACAUCGGAAUCUACUUUUUCGUGGGGGAUAACGUAGGGAAACUUACGCUAAUACAGCAUACGACCUACGGGUGAAAGCAGGGGAUCUUCGGACCUUGCGCGAUUGAAUGAGCCGAUGUCGGAUUAGCUAGUUGGCGGGGUAAAGGCCCACCAAGGCGACGAUCCGUAGCUGGUCUGAGAGGAUGAUCAGCCACACUGGAACUGAGACACGGUCCAGACUCCUACGGGAGGCAGCAGUGGGGAAUAUUGGACAAUGGGCGCAAGCCUGAUCCAGCCAUACCGCGUGGGUGAAGAAGGUCUUCGGGUUGUAAAGCCCUUUUGUUGGGAAAGAAAAGCAGCAGGUUAAUACCCCGCUGUUCUGACGGUACCCAAAGAAUAAGCACCGGCUAACUUCGUG